Molecule: ribosomal RNA, 497 nt
Filed under: uncultured bacterium
Lineage: Bacteria
Description: partial 16S ribosomal RNA
Rfam family: Bacterial small subunit ribosomal RNA
Source: RNAcentral
GACGAACGCUGGCGGCGUGCCUAAUACAUGCAAGUAGAACGCUGAAGAGAGGAGCUUGCUCUUCUUGGAUGAGUUGCGAACGGGUGAGUAACGCGUAGGUAACCUGCCUUGUAGCGGGGGAUAACUAUUGGAAACGAUAGCUAAUACCGCAUAACAAUGGAUGACACAUGUCUUUUAUUUGAAAGGGGCAAUUGCUCCACUACAAGAUGGACCUGCGUUGUAUUAGCUAGUAGGUGAGGUAAUGGCUCACCUAGGCGACGAUACAUAGCCGACCUGAGAGGGUGAACGGCCAAACCGGGACUGGGACACGGCCCAGGCCCCUACGGGAGGCAGCAGUAGGGAAACUUCGGCAAUGGGGGCAACCCUGACCGAGGAACGCCGCGUGAGUGAAGGAGGGUUUCGGAUCGUAAAGAUCUGUUGUAAGUCAAGGACGGGUGUUAGAGUGGAAAGUUCACACUGUGACGGUAGCUUACCAGAAAGGGACGGCUAACUACGUG